UAGACCGGCCCAACUCGUACGGAAGCAGCAGUGGGAAUAUUGGGCAAUGGGCGCAAGCCCGAUCCAGCCAUGCCGCGUGAGUGAUGAAGGCCCUAGGGUUGUAAAGCUCUUUCGCCAGGGACGAUAAUGACGGUACCUGGAUAAGAAGCCCCGGCUAACUUCGUGCCAGCAGCCGCGGUAAUACGAAGGGGGCUAGCGUUGUUCGGAAUCACUGGGCGUAAAGCGCACGUAGGCGGAUCUUUAAGUCAGGGGUGAAAUCCCGAGGCUCAACCUCGGAACUGCCUUUGAUACUGGAGGUCUAGAGUCCGGGAGAGGUGAGUGGAACUGCGAGUGUAGAGGUGAAAUUCGUAGAUAUUCGCAAGAACACCAGUGGCGAAGGCGGCUCACUGGCCCGGAACUGACGCUGAGGUGCG
RNAcentral lists this ribosomal RNA (413 nucleotides) under methanotroph M5. RNAcentral describes it as "bacterial SSU rRNA". It matches the Rfam family "Bacterial small subunit ribosomal RNA", at positions 323 to 755 of the family's 1533-position model. The record is from RNAcentral. Lineage: Bacteria; Pseudomonadati; Pseudomonadota; Alphaproteobacteria; Hyphomicrobiales; Methylocystaceae.